This 253-nucleotide ribosomal RNA is filed under the name uncultured bacterium. RNAcentral's name for it is "partial 16S ribosomal RNA". It matches the Rfam family "Bacterial small subunit ribosomal RNA", at positions 524 to 776 of the family's 1533-position model. The record is from RNAcentral.
UACGUAGGUGGCAAGCGUUAUCCGGAUUUAUUGGGUGUAAAGGGCGUGUAGGCGGGAGCGCAAGUCAGAUGUGAAAACUCAGGACUCAACCCUGAGCCUGCAUUUGAAACUGUGUUUCUUGAGUGCUGGAGAGGCAAUCGGAAUUCCGUGUGUAGCGGUGAAAUGCGUAGAUAUACGGAGGAACACCAGUGGCGAAAGCGGCUCUCUGGUCUGUAACUGACGCUGAGGUUCGAAAGCGUGGGUAGCAAACAGG